GACGAACGCUGGCGGCGUGCUUAACACAUGCAAGUCGAACGGUAAGGCCCUUCGGGGUACACGAGUGGCGAACGGGUGAGUAACACGUGGGUGAUCUGCCCUGCACUUCGGGAUAAGCCUGGGAAACUGGGUCUAAUACCGGAUAGGACCACUGCCUGCAUGGGUGGUGGUGGAAAGCUUUUGCGGUGUGGGAUGGGCCCGCGGCCUAUCAGCUUGUUGGUGGGGUGAUGACCUACCAAGGCGACGACGGGUAGCCGGCCUGAGAGGGUGACCGGCCACACUGGGACUGAGAUACGGCCCAGACUCCUACGGGAGGCAGCAGUGGGAAAUAUUGCACAAUGGGCGCAAGCCUGAUGCAGCGACGCCGCGUGGGGGAUGACGGCCUUCGGGUUGUAAACCUCUUUCAGUAGGGACGAAGCGCAAGUGACGGUACCUACAGAAGAAGGACCGGCCAACUACGUGCCAGCCACCGCAGUAA
This 478-nucleotide ribosomal RNA is filed under the name uncultured bacterium. RNAcentral describes it as "partial 16S ribosomal RNA". It matches the Rfam family "Bacterial small subunit ribosomal RNA", at positions 28 to 523 of the family's 1533-position model. The record is from RNAcentral.